This 1212-nucleotide long non-coding RNA is filed under the name Sus scrofa (pig). RNAcentral's name for it is "lncRNA (ENSSSCG00005014453.1)". The record is from RNAcentral. Lineage: Eukaryota; Metazoa; Chordata; Mammalia; Artiodactyla; Suidae.
GGGCCUCAUGGUGGCCUUCACUGUGUGGGCCUCGAUAUGUGAAUUAACUUUAUCAUGGGUGUUCUUGUUAAAGUCAAAGGUGAAUGGGGGAUUUUUUGGCAGGUUGGAGGUGCAAUUAGAAGCACUUUAAAGUCCUACUAAAUCCUAAUUUAAUAUCUUUGGAGCAAAAUAUUCUUAAAGAAUUUAUCAAAAUUUUAAUGUGGCAUAUCAUUGAAUAUCUUUUUAUAUUCAAGUAUAAUCAAAGUGACCUUGUUCUAACUAUACAGGCAUAAUCUAGUCCCAUGAAGUCAUAGUACUAAGACUUUUCAGUGCCUGUGAUAUGAAAGAAUGGGUUAUGCUGUAGUACUCACAAAAAUAUAUAAUGCCAGAUAAAAUGUAACAAAAAUGUUUGUUAAAAAGUAUGCCUGGGGUUACAAAAGAAAAGGAAAUUCCCAUAUUUCAGAAGACAAUAAAUUGCUGAAAACUGUAGCUUUGACUCAUGAGCUAGCAUUUCUGCAGCUAUGCUGGGGAUUAUUGGAUCCACUUAGUCCUUGGGCUUCACGUCCACACGGGACUGGGACAGAGGCUUGGAGACUCAGUGGAGAAUUGAAUACAGUGCCCAAACAUCAUUCCAGAAUGAGGGAAAAUAAAAUCCUACAGUUCAUAAUAACCAUAGUUAGCAUCGACAAAAGUAUUGAAGGAUAUUCUUCAUAAAAAAUGUAGGAGUGGAAGGCAAUUAUAAUGAUGACGGGGGAAAGGGCACUUAAUGGUGACAAAAGUCAAUAAUGAGUUCCCAUUGUGGCUCAGUGGAAACGAACCUGACUAGUAUCCAGGAGGAUGUGGGUUCAAUCCCUGGCCUCCCUCAGUGGCUAAGAAUCCAGCUUUGCUGUGAGCUGUGGUGUAGGUCACAGACACAGCUUGGAUGCAAGUUCAAUCCCUGGCCUUGCUUAGUGGGUUAAGGAUCUGGCAUUGCCAUGAGCUGUGAUAUAGGUUGCAGAUGUAGCUCUGAUCUUGCAUUGCUGUGGCAUAGGCUGGCAGCUACAGCUCUGAUUAGACCCCUGGCCUGGGAACUUCCAUAUGCCACAGGUGUGUCCCUAAAAAGACAAAAAGACCAAAAACAAACAAACAAACACUUGAUGAUGAGGGUGACAGCACUAAAAGAGAAAAUUUCCAGGCACAAGAACCUCCUCUGUCUACAUCACAUUGGACCUGUAGGUCACUGAAACAUGCAGU